CCUGUUGCAAGAGCAAGAACUUGAUCUCCGUAUCGUACAGUCCUGGCUUGUAUACUCAGAUAGGACACAACAUCCGUCGUCAACCCAACCAGCUGAGGGUCUCCAGCUGAGUUGAGUUGAAGUAGGCUGUUGAAAGAAAUACAGUGUGGAACAGAACCUUGCAGCUCCAUGAGGCGCACCGCCCAGCAGCCCGUCUAUUUAACUCCAGCCUAGUCACAGGACAACUUAUAAUGUCCAAUUAAUCUAAUAGCAGGAAUUUGCUGGUGUCAGCUCUGCAUUUUUGUCAACAUUCCAACUUUUCAAACCCCAUUUCAGUGGCCGUGCAUAUGCUCUAAGCACUCCCACCAACAAAUCUUCUCAAGUGGAAC
Molecule: long non-coding RNA, 368 nt
Organism: Mobula hypostoma (lesser devil ray)
Lineage: Eukaryota; Metazoa; Chordata; Chondrichthyes; Myliobatiformes; Myliobatidae
Exons: 3
Source: RefSeq, a predicted model, not a curated record